RNAcentral lists this ribosomal RNA (253 nucleotides) under uncultured bacterium. RNAcentral describes it as "partial 16S ribosomal RNA". It matches the Rfam family "Bacterial small subunit ribosomal RNA", at positions 524 to 776 of the family's 1533-position model. The record is from RNAcentral.
UACGAAGGGGGCUAGCGUUGCUCGGAAUCACUGGGCGUAAAGGGUGCGUAGGCGGGCCUUUAAGUCAGGGGUGAAAUCCUGGAGCUCAACUCCAGAACUGCCUUUGAUACUGAAGAUCUUGAGUUCGGGAGAGGUGAGUGGAACUGCGAGUGUAGAGGUGAAAUUCGUAGAUAUUGGGAAGAACACCGGUGGCGAAGGCGGCCAACUGGACCAUUUCUGACGCUGAGGCGCGAAAGCGUGGGGAGCAAACAGG